GAUGAACGCUGGCGGUAUGCUUAACACAUGCAAGUCGAACGGGGUUCAUAGUCACCUAGUGGCGGACGGGUGAGUAACGCGUGAGAAUCUGGCCUCAGGUCCGGGACAACCACGGGAAACGGUGGCUAAUACCGGAUGUGCCAUAUUGGUGAAAGAUUAAUUGCCUGAGGAUGAGCUCGCGUCUGAUUAGCUAGUUGGUGGGGUAAAGGCUUACCAAGGCGACGAUCAGUAACUGGUCUGAGAGGAUGACCAGUCACACUGGGACUGAGACACGGCCCAGACUCCUACGGGAGGCAGCAGUGGGGAAUUUUCCGCAAUGGGCGAAAGCCUGACGGAGCAAUACCGCGUGAGGGAGGAAGGCUCUUGGGUUGUAAACCUCUUUUCUCAGGGAAGAAGAAUGACGGUACCUGAGGAAUCAGCAUCGGCUAACUCCGUG
This 436-nucleotide ribosomal RNA is filed under the name uncultured bacterium. RNAcentral describes it as "partial 16S ribosomal RNA". It matches the Rfam family "Bacterial small subunit ribosomal RNA", at positions 28 to 507 of the family's 1533-position model. The record is from RNAcentral.